Molecule: non-coding RNA, 1395 nt
Organism: Schizosaccharomyces pombe (fission yeast)
Lineage: Eukaryota; Fungi; Ascomycota; Schizosaccharomycetes; Schizosaccharomycetales; Schizosaccharomycetaceae
Source: the annotation of a GenBank genome assembly
UGAGGUUGAUUGCACAAUAUGAUGAAAAAUUGACUGACCAUUGGUGUCAACAGCAUAAAUAGUAGACUGGAGAAGCUCAAGCACUUGUCCAAAAGUUUGGCAGUCAUAAUUAUUGGUAAAGAUAACACUCCUCAUCAAUGGUGUUUGACUCAGUCUGUUACACACGCCAAUGUCAGCAUUGGCUCUCAGUAAUAACUUAAUCAUCUCUAUAUGUCCCAUUGAGCAUGCCCAAUGAAGAGAAGUGUGGCCAUCAUCAUCAAUAACACUGUUAACUUGAAAAUCCGGGGGCGGCGAAUACAGGAAGGAAGGAAUGCGUCCCUCUUCUGGGUGAAGAAAGAAGUCAAGUAGUGACUCUUCAUAUUUGUCAAGCGGUGCCUCCAACAUGCCUAACUCUUCAACAGGUUUUAUAGUGUUAUCAUUUGGUGAUAGCAGUGCAUUAGGAGACGCUGGCAGAGGUGUUGCAGAAACUUGCUCCUCUGCACCAGGCAAAUUCACUUUAUUCAUAGAUGACUCAAUUGUUGGUGAUAUAGAAGAAUUCGGUUGUUUUUCAUUGACGGAAUGCAAAGUGCUACUAGAAAGUGACGACGGUUUACGGCCUCUACGGCCACGUACAGAAGGCUUUUUCUGCUUGGUCUGCUUCUUCUUUGGAGCAAUUGCUUUUCCCUCAUCAAUGUCAAGACUCAAUAUUGGGCUCAUUAUUCCGUCAACCUUAUACUUUGUGGCCAGGUCGACCCCACGCUGAAAUGGAACCCAAGUUCCUAUAGUUUGGUUAAUACCGUCAAUCAUUUAGAGGACGCGUCCAUAGAGAUAUUUAAUACAAAAAGGUAUUAAAAUACCUCGAUUUGGCUUAGUAAACACUCAAUUGUUCGCGUUGUUCAAAGAUAGCAAAUCAUGUCACAACGCGUAACAGUAGACAACUUACCCUGAUAUUUUCCAUAUCCACCUUGUACUUUUUCAUGCGCACCAAUCUGUACUUGUCUUUCUAAAACCCUUGUCCUUUGUGGUUUGUCAAAGUCAGCCACUUUCAAGAUUUGUGUAGCAUUCAACCAGGAAUCGCGGCGUCUGCGCAUCACAGAGACACCUUUAAUAAAGCAUUCAUAGACUUCAACCCCAGAAUAAACGGCAACAUGUACUGCGGAAGAACGUGGAGCCAUUACAGCAAAAGGCAGUUAAAAUGCGUAGCGCGGACUCUUAAAAGGGUGCAUGCAUUGCGUUCGCUCACCCUACCUGCGUAUACACAUAACAAUAGGGAAGGGUGGGGCAAUACAGAAAAUCAACUAUGUAGUUACUGAAUAUAUAUUAGCACUAAUUAAAUAAUGAGUAUUCACUUAAUGAAAGGAAUCAAUGGGAAGUCUCAGUUGCCAAAGAACUACACUUGUAAUACUGAAUUGCAAA